UGCAAAUACAUAUUUUGUCUCUCGCUGUCUGAUGGUCAUCAUGUUCAGCCUGAAGCAAGCUGCACUGCUCUUCAUUCAGCUGUUACAGACAAACUACGUAUUUGCAGCGUUCGCUACAGCAGACCACUACGAUGUGUUGGUGUCCAGAGGAAACUCAGUCCUGCUCACUUGCAAUCUAUCUAAUGA
Molecule: long non-coding RNA, 186 nt
Organism: Poecilia latipinna (sailfin molly)
Lineage: Eukaryota; Metazoa; Chordata; Actinopteri; Cyprinodontiformes; Poeciliidae
Exons: 4
Source: RefSeq, a predicted model, not a curated record